GAUGAACGCUGGCGGCGUGCCUAACACAUGCAAGUCGAGCGAUUUACUUCGGUAAAGAGCGGCGGACGGGUGAGUAACGCGUGGGUAACCUGCCCUGUACACACGGAUAACAUACCGAAAGAUAUGCUAAUAUGAGAUAAUAUACUUUUAUCGCAUGGUAGAAGUAUCAAAGCUUUUGCGGUACAGGAUGGACCCGCGUCUGAUUAGCUAGUUGGUAAGGUAACGGCUUACCAAGGCGACGAUCAGUAGCCGACCUGAGAGGGUGAUCGGCCACAUUGGAACUGAGACACGGUCCAAACUCCUACGGGAGGCAGCAGUGGGGAAUAUUGCACAAUGGGCGAAAGCCUGAUGCAGCAACGCCGCGUGAGCGAUGAAGGCCUUCGGGUCGUAAAGCUCUGUCCUCAAGGAAGAUAAUGACGGUACUUGGGGAGGAAGCCCCGGCUAACUACGUGCCAGCCGCCGCAGUAA
This 468-nucleotide ribosomal RNA is filed under the name uncultured bacterium. RNAcentral describes it as "partial 16S ribosomal RNA". It matches the Rfam family "Bacterial small subunit ribosomal RNA", at positions 28 to 523 of the family's 1533-position model. The record is from RNAcentral.